GACGAACGCUGGCGGCGUGCUUAACACAUGCAAGUCGAACGGAGAGGCCCUGCUUUUGUGGGGUGCUCGAGUGGCGAACGGGUGAGUAACACGUGAGUAACCUGCCCUUGACUUUGGGAUAACUUCAGGAAACUGGGGCUAAUACCGGAUAGGAGCUCCUGCUGCAUGGUGGGGGUUGGAAAGUUUCGGCGGUUGGGGAUGGACUCGCGGCUUAUCAGCUUGUUGGUGGGGUAGUGGCUUACCAAGGCUUUGACGGGUAGCCGGCCUGAGAGGGUGACCGGCCACAUUGGGCCUGCGAUACGGCCCAGACUCCUACGGGAGGCAGCAGUGGGGAAUAUUGCACAAUGGGCGGAAGCCUGAUGCAGCAACGCCGCGUGCGGGAUGACGGCCUUCGGGUUGUAAACCGCUUUCGCCUGUGACGAAGCGUGAGUGACGGUAAUGGGUAAAGAAGCACCGGCUAACUACGUG
Molecule: ribosomal RNA, 468 nt
Filed under: uncultured bacterium
Lineage: Bacteria
Description: partial 16S ribosomal RNA
Rfam family: Bacterial small subunit ribosomal RNA
Source: RNAcentral